UACGUAGGGGGCAAGCGUUGUCCGGAAUCAUUGGGCGUAAAGCGCGUGUAGGCGGCUCGAUAAGUCUGCUGUGAAAGUCCAAGGCUCAACCUUGGGAUGCCGGUGGAUACUGUCGAGCUCGAGUCCGGAAGAGGAGUGUGGAAUUCCUGGUGUAGCGGUGAAAUGCGCAGAUAUCAGGAGGAACACCGGUGGCGAAGGCGGGACUCUGGGCCGAUACUGACGCUGAGGAGCGAAAGCGUGGGGAGCGAACAGG
This 253-nucleotide ribosomal RNA is filed under the name uncultured bacterium. RNAcentral describes it as "partial 16S ribosomal RNA". It matches the Rfam family "Bacterial small subunit ribosomal RNA", at positions 524 to 776 of the family's 1533-position model. The record is from RNAcentral.